RNAcentral lists this unclassified non-coding RNA (556 nucleotides) under Heliophila pusilla. Its description in RNAcentral is "sequence contains ITS1, 5.8S rRNA gene and ITS2". Lineage: Eukaryota; Viridiplantae; Streptophyta; Magnoliopsida; Brassicales; Brassicaceae. The record is from RNAcentral.
GGAGCGACCGACGAUAUGUAAAGGCUUUUAUUCACCACCCCCUGUCGAGACGCUCCUGCGUCCUUAGCUCGGAUUUUGGCCAGCCGCGUGCGGUACCACACGGGAGACCAGCAUCCGUCCCAUAUCCGAAUUGGAUGAGGGGACGACGAUUUGUGACACCCAGGCAGACGUGCCCUCGGCCAGAAGGCUUARGGCGCAACUUGCGUUCAAAGACUCRAUGGUUCACGGGAUUCUGCAAUUCACACCAAGUAUCGCAUUUCGCUACGUUCUUCAUCGAUGCGAGAGCCGAGAUAUCCGUUGCCGAGAGUCGUUUUAGACUUUAUAUGGCAGCAUAGCAUCCGACACACACCGUCUCCGGGGCGUCAAACGCAAGCUGUUUAAUUGUAUGUUCCUUGAGACUUUUCGUGCCGGGGUUUUGUGAUUUCCGGGAUCUUAAGCAUGACCAUACCGAGAGAAAUCUCUUGAUUUGGACCAUACSCAAGACCACGGACCCAGCGGGCACASUAUCUGUUAAAACAAAGGCCCACCGAGAGUGAUGAUMGGUUGUUCUCNAGUC